GCAAUCAAGCAUCAUCGACUCGCAGGGUGAACAAAAUGGUGAUAUCAGAAGAACAGAUGAAGUUACCAUCCACCAAGAAAACGGCACAUGUGGAGAGCCAGGGAGAAGAAUAGAAAGAAAAAGAGACAGAGAUCAGAGACAGACACAGAAAGUGAGAUUGGGGAGAGAGAUAGUGUAAAAGAGAGAGAGAGAGAGAGACCAUAAGAGAAGGGAGACAAAGAGAUAAAAGGUGCGAGUCAUCAGUCUACAGGUGUAUCCAGCAGCUCCAGAGAGACAGCGACCGACCAGAGAGAAGGGGCCAUGAUGAUGGGAGAACGAGGCCCCUGAGGUCUUCCUGGACUCCGAGGUGAGGAAGGAUGCCCUGGUAUGAGGGGACCUAAGGGAGCAAGAGGAUUUUCAGGAGAGAAGGGCAACCCUGGUGAGGGAGUUGAUGGCUUGCAUGGAGAACAGGGUAAUCACGGAAUCCCAGGGUCAUCUGGAGAAAAAGGAAAUAGGGGAAAUCGGGGCUUGACGGGACUGCCAGGACAACCUGGAGAGCGUGGAGAGCCUGGGUUAAGGGGAGAUCCUGGGGAUCCUGGAACUAAUAGCUAUAUCCAAGGCCCUAAGGGAGAAAAAGGAAGGCGUGGGCGUCAGGGAAGUUCUAAUGUUGAUGGACCUCAGGGAGAAACUGGAAAUGUCGGCCCUUGGGGGACAAUAGGAAGGCGAGGUCUGCCAGGAUUAAAGGACCCUCUACCACUGUUGUGUCGCUGCUUUCCUGUCUAUACCCACUUCAUUACACAGCUGAUUGGAAGUGAAGCAAGUCAUGCUGGGAACCAUGAGCAAGAUAAUCAAUAAAACCUCUCCUUAAUUCUCACCUUCCCGCUGGGAUGGACCAAGAGGAAGGCAAGGACCACCAGGAACUUCUGGACAAAAAGGCUUAGUGGGUGCUCAGGGGAAUCCUGGGCCUCCAGGGCCAAAUGGUUCAAAAGGAAAAGCUGGACCAAGAGGAGUGAAGGGAGAGAUUGGUGAUGUAGGAGAAAGAGGCCCACAGAGUCGACAAGGACCAAGAGGGCAACCUGGUCUUCCUGGUUCUGAUGGAUAAGGACAUCCAGGAACAAAAGGAACAAAGGGUGAACAUGGAUUCCCUGGCUAUCCUGGUGCACAAGGAGAAGAUGGUGACCCGGGCCAUCAAGGAGAAAAGGGGGCAAAGGGAAUAAGAGGGAAGAGGGGUAAUGCUGGCUUUCCUGGAUUUGUUGGAACUUCGGGUGACCAAGGCCCACCAGGACAAAUGCCUUGCAAAAUUGUUGAUUUCACACGUGAAAACUGCCUUACCCUUUAGGUAAGUAAUCUUUCCCAAUGUGGUCUCAGAAAUAAAGUGGAUUGACAGCAUGCCAUCUCAACGAUGAAGAGAAGCUCCACUGAGCAAUACUGUGCCCCAGGAGAUGUCAUAACUGCACACCUGUGUGCCUACAUCUUGCUGCUUCUUAUCACAAAACAAAGGAGGUUUGUUCUUUUUAUGUAUUUCCAAAUGCCCAGCAUUCCCAACUGAAGUGGCCUUUGCCUUGGACAUGUCAAAUGAUGUCUCCCUGUUGGAUUUUGAGAGGAUGAGAGACAUUUUAUUGUCUCUGUUGAUGAAGAUGGAAAUAAGUGACAGUAACUGCCCAACAGGUGCCCAUGUGGCCAUUGUUUCCUACAAUGCCAAAACCAAUUACUUGGUUCGUUUCUCAGACUACAAGGGGAAGGUUGCACUCCUGGAGGCUGUCAGGAACAUCCCCCUGGAGCAGUCAUCUGGCCGCAGGAACCUCGGGGCCACCAUGAGGUUUAUGGCGAGACGUGUUCAAACGUGUACGCUCGGGUCUUCUCAUGAGGAAGGUGGCUGUGUUCUUCCAGGCGGGCUGGGCCUAUGAUGCAGCUUCCAUCAAUACAGCCACACUGGAGCUUGCUGCAGUGGGCAUCAUCCCCGUGGUCAUCACCUUCACAGAGGGGCACAACCUCCCGGACACCCUGCUGACAAAUGCAGACCAGACCCAGAAUGCCCGGCUGGCACGCCGGGGCCCCAGGAGGUGGACGUGGACUUGGUAUUUGUGGUGGACAGCUCCUAUGGAGUGGAUGCCGACGUGUACCGCGGGUCUUUGAGUCUAGCGGACGCCGCGCUAGAAGACCUGGAGGUGGCUGAGCAGCCGGGCGCGUCCCACCGUGGGGCGCGUGUGGCCCUGGUGACGCACACGACACCCAACUUCUGGCCGGGUGUGGGUUGCCUCCCUGUGCUCGAGGGCUUCCACUUGACCACCUAUGGCAACCGGAAGCAGAUGCAGAGACAUGUGCGCGAGGCUUCAGCCCGCCCCUUACAGGGAACCGCCCCCCCUGGGCCACGCCCUGGAGUGGACGCUGGAGAAUGUGCUCCUGGCAGCCCCUCGGCCGCGGAAGGCACAAGUCCUCUUCGCCAUCGUGGCCAGCGAGACAAGUAGCUGGGACAGGGAGAAGCUAUGGACUCUGUCCCUGGAGGCCAAAUGCAAGGGCAUUACCCUCUUUGUGCUGGCCUUGGGUCCGGGUGUGGGGACCCAUGAGCUAGCCGAGCUAGCCGAGCUGGUCAGUGCUCCCUCUGAGCAGCAUCUACUGCGCCUACAAGGGGUCUCAGAGCCAGAGGUUAACUACGCUCAGGGAUUCACUCGGGCCUUCCUGAACCUCCUAAAAAGUGGGACAAACCAGUACCCACCCCCAGAGCUCACUGAAGAAUGUGGGGGCCUACACCGUGGGGACACUGUGCUGCAAUUAGUCACACCUGUCAACAGGUUGCCCAGGCACCAGUUUGGUAUGUCUGGCUUGGCUGAUGAUUUGGAAGCACUUGAAGCAACAGGCAUUUUUCUAGAAGAGAAGAGAAAAGACAUCACAACAUCUAUAACUCAGCAAGAAGCACUUGAAAAUUAUGAAAAUAACAAAUAUGACAUUGAAGAAAAUGAACAAGAAACACCAGCAAAACAAAAAGAAACUAGAAAAGAAAUAAAUGCAGACACUACCUAUGGUCCUUGUUCCAUGGAUCCAAUGGAAGGCGAGUGUCAGGAUCACACCCUGAAGUGGCAUUACAACAAGGAGGAACGGGUUUGCCAGCAGUUCUGGUGUGGCAGCUGUGGCGGCAAUGCCAACCGGUUUGAAACCAAGGAAGAAUGUGAGGCUUGGUGUGUCCCAAUACAGUAACAGUACAAGCAGAGCCCUGUUACUGUUAAAGGCAGAGCUUUUAAUGCUGAUGAAAUGGAGAUUACCAGGGCUGAGGCAGGACCUCACAGCUCAGAAGUGACAGCCCAUUCCAACACCUUGGACAUCAGAUUCCUAAACGUCUGAAUGUUUUCACGCCAACAAGGACUUGGGCCAGAUGAUUUGUGACUUGAGGACUGAAUUCUAAUAGUUAAAAAAGUAACUGAAAGAUAUUUAAAUGAAUUAGAACGGAAUGAAAAAUAAACUUGAACUUAUAAUAUUAUUUUAAAAUUUGGGGGUGCUAUGUAGCAAAAUAAAAAUCAGUGUAAGCAGUGAGAAAAACCUAAUUCAGAAAUGAAUCGAAACUUGGUUUGUUUUUUUCACCACCAGAGAAUAGGGAAAUAUUAGUCAAAGAGAGGGCAUGGAAGAAGGGACAUCUAAUGUGAACGAACUUCAUACUUACUACUUAAUGUAGAUAAAUAAAGGCAUUCUUUA
This is a long non-coding RNA of Homo sapiens (human), 3666 nucleotides long. The record is from Ensembl. Lineage: Eukaryota; Metazoa; Chordata; Mammalia; Primates; Hominidae.